AGGAUAAACGCUGGCGGCGUGCCUAACACAUGCAAGUCGAACGCGCUUUCGGGCUUCGGUGCGAGAGCGAGUGGCGGACGGGUGAGUAACACAUGGGUACCUGCCUUUCAGUGAGGGAUACCGGCGAGAAAUCGCCGACAAUACCGCAUGGGCUUGUGGGAACACAAGCAAAGUGGCGCAAGCCACGCUGGAAGAUGGGCCUGUGGCCGAUUAGCUAGUUGGGGGGGUAACGGCCUCCCAAGGCGACGAUCGGUAGCUGGUCUGAGAGGACGAUCAGCCACACUGGGAUUGAGAACGGCCCAGACUCCUACGGGGGGCAGCAGUGAGGAAUUUUUCCGCAAUGGACGAAAGUCUGACGGAGCAACGCCGCGUGCAGGAGGAAGGUUUUCGGAUCGUAAACUGCUUUUCUCGGGGACAGCAAGGACGGUACCCGAGGAAGAAGCCCCGGCUAACUACGUGCCAGCAGCCGC
Molecule: ribosomal RNA, 470 nt
Filed under: uncultured bacterium
Lineage: Bacteria
Description: SSU rRNA
Rfam family: Bacterial small subunit ribosomal RNA
Source: RNAcentral